UAGAGUUUGAUCCUGGCUCAGAUUGAACGCUGGCGGCAGGCCUAACACAUGCAAGUCGAGCGGAUGAUGGGAGCUUGNNNNNGGAUUCAGCGGCGGACGGGUGAGUAAUGCCUAGGAAUCUGCCUGGUAGUGGGGGACAACGUUUCGAAAGGAACGCUAAUACCGCAUACGUCCUACGGGAGAAAGCAGGGGACCUUCGGGCCUUGCGCUAUCAGAUGAGCCUAGGUCGGAUUAGCUAGUUGGUGGGGUAAAGGCCUACCAAGGCGACGAUCCGUAACUGGUCUGAGAGGAUGAUCAGUCACACUGGAACUGAGACACGGUCCAGACUCCUACGGGAGGCAGCAGUGGGGAAUAUUGGACAAUGGGCGAAAGCCUGAUCCAGCCAUGCCGCGUGUGUGAAGAAGGUCUUCGGAUUGUAAAGCACUUUAAGUUGGGAGGAAGGGCAGUAAGUUAAUACCUUGCUGUUUUGACGUUACCAACAGAAUAAGCACCGGCUAACUUCGUGCCAGCAGCCGCGGUAAUACGAAGGGUGCAAGCGUUAAUCGGAAUUACUGGGCGUAAGGCGCGCGUAGGUGGUUUGGUAAGAUGGAUGUGAAAUCCCCGGGCUCAACCUGGGAACUGCAUCCAUAACUGCCUGACUAGAGUACGGUAGAGGGUGGUGGAAUUUCCUGUGUAGCGGUGAAAUGCGUAGAUAUAGGAAGGAACACCAGUGGCGAAGGCGACCACCUGGACUGAUACUGACACUGAGGU
Molecule: ribosomal RNA, 750 nt
Filed under: bacterium enrichment culture clone 3-5
Lineage: Bacteria
Description: bacterial SSU rRNA
Rfam family: Bacterial small subunit ribosomal RNA
Source: RNAcentral